This 1343-nucleotide ribosomal RNA is filed under the name uncultured bacterium. Its description in RNAcentral is "16S ribosomal RNA". It matches the Rfam family "Bacterial small subunit ribosomal RNA", at positions 28 to 1378 of the family's 1533-position model. The record is from RNAcentral.
GACGAACGCUGGCGGCGUGCUUAACACAUGCAAGUCGAACGGAAAGGCCCUGCUUUUGUGGGGUGCUCGAGUGGCGAACGGGUGAGUAACACGUGAGUAACCAGCCCUUGGCUUUGGGAUAACUUCAGGAAACUGGGGCUAAUACCGGAUAGGAGCUCCUGCUGCAUGGUGGGGGUUGGAAAGUUUCGGCGGUUGGGGAUGGACUCGCGGCUUAUCAGCUUGUUGGUGGGGUAGUGGCUUACCAAGGCUUUGACGGGUAGCCGGCCUGAGAGGGUGACCGGCCACAUUGGGACUGAGAUACGGCCCAGACUCCUACGGGAGGCAGCAGUGGGGAACAUUGCACAAUGGGCGGAAGCCUGAUGCAGCAACGCCGCGUGCGGGAUGACGGCCUUCGGGUUGUAAACCGCUUUCGCCUGUGACGAAGCGUGAGUGACGGUAAUGGGUAAAGAAGCACCGGCUAACUACGUGCCAGCAGCCGCGGUGAUACGUAGGGUGCGAGCGUUGUCCGGAUUUAUUGGGCGUAAAGGGCUCGUAGGUGGUUGAUCGCGUCGGAAGUGUAAUCUUGGGGCUUAACCCUGAGCGUGCUUUCGAUACGGGUUGACUUGAGGAAGGUAGGGGAGAAUGGAAUUCCUGGUGGAGCGGUGGAAUGCGCAGAUAUCAGGAGGAACACCAGUGGCGAAGGCGGUUCUCUGGGCCUUUCCUGACGCUGAGGAGCGAAAGCGUGGGGAGCGAACAGGCUUAGAUACCCUGGUAGUCCACGCUGUAAACGGUGGGUACUAGGUGUGGGGUCCAUUCCACGGGUUCCGUGCCGUAGCUAACGCUUUAAGUACCCCGCCUGGGGAGUACGGCCGCAAGGCUAAAACUCAAAGGAAUUGACGGGGCCCCGCACAAGCGGCGGAGCAUGCGGAUUAAUUCGAUGCAACGCGUAGAACCUUACCUGGGUUUGACAUGGAUCGGGAGCGCUCAGAGAUGGGUGUGCCUCUUUUGGGGUCGGUUCACAGGUGGUGCAUGGCUGUCGUCAGCUCGUGUCGUGAGAUGUUGGGUUAAGUCCCGCAACGAGCGCAACCCUUGUUCACUGUUGCCAGCACGUUAUGGUGGGGACUCAGUGGAGACCGCCGGGGUCAACUCGGAGGAAGGUGGGGAUGACGUCAAGUCAUCAUGCCCCUUAUGUCCAGGGCUUCACGCAUGCUACAAUGGCUGGUACAGAGAGUGGCGAGCCUGUGAGGGUGAGCGAAUCUCGGAAAGCCGGUCUCAGUUCGGAUUGGGGUCUGCAACUCGACCUCAUGAAGUCGGAGUCGCUAGUAAUCGCAGAUCAGCAACGCUGCGGUGAAUACGUUCCCGGG